Molecule: unclassified non-coding RNA, 276 nt
Filed under: plant metagenome
Description: partial contains small subunit ribosomal RNA, internal transcribed spacer 1, and 5.8S ribosomal RNA
Source: RNAcentral
UCUCCGUUGGUGAACCAGCGGAGGGAUCAUUACAGGGUUUAUUAUAACUCCUAAACCCAUGUGAACCUACCUUCUGUUGCCUCGGCAGGCAAGUCGUAUCUUGCUACCCUAUAGGACCCUAUCUUGUAAGACGUUACCUUAUAAGGUCCUAUCCGGUAGAGAGAUGCGGUACUACCUGCCGGUGGACUGAAAAAAAAAUUCUGUUUAAUAAAUGGUAUUCUGAAUCAUUAUAUGGAAAUUAAGUUAAAACUUUCAACAACGGAUCUCUUGGUUCUG